GGACCCGCACAAGCGGUGGAGUAUGUGGUUUAAUUCGAUGCAACGCGAAAAACCUUACCAGGGUUUGAAAUCAUUUCAAAACUCCUUGAAAGAGGAGCCUCCUUCGGGAUGAAAUGACAGGUGGUGCAUGGCUGUCGUCAGCUCGUGUUGUGAAAUGUCGAGUUAAGUCUCGUAACGAGCGCAACCCAUGUCUCUUGUUGCUCUUUGAGUGCUUAAGAGAGACUGCCGACCAACAUCGGAGGAAGGUGUGGAUGAUGUCAAGUCAGCAUGCCCCUUACAUCCUGGGCUACACACGUACUACAAUGGUAAGGACAAUGAGCUGCAAGCCUGCGAAGGUUAGCCAAUCUCAAAAACCUUAUCUCAGUUCGGAUUGCACUCUGCAACUCGAGUGCAUG
Molecule: ribosomal RNA, 395 nt
Filed under: uncultured bacterium
Lineage: Bacteria
Description: bacterial SSU rRNA
Rfam family: Bacterial small subunit ribosomal RNA
Source: RNAcentral